UCUAAUUUCUUAACCCAUCUAGACCCCUUCAACUGUACUGAGAACUUCUAUAAUAUUAUAGAACCUUUUAUGCUAAAACUAGUAACAAGAGACAACCCCUCUCCCCAAUGCAAAUUAAAGCCAGCAAGAACCCACCACUGGCAACCAACAGACCUGAACAAAAGCGGCAACUUCACUAGAAAACCCCACUUCCCACAACUGUUAACCUAACACCAGAGCAUUUCAAGAAAGAUUAAAAGAAAAAGAAGGAACUCGGCAAACAUUAACCCCGCCUGUUUACCAAAAACACCGCCUCUUGCCCAUAUAAGAGGUCCAGCCUGCCCAGUGACACUUGUUCAACGGCCGCGGUAUCCUAACCGUGCAAAGGUAGCGUAAUCACUUGUCUUCUAAAUAAAGACCAGUAUGAAAGGCAUCACGAGGGCUAAACUGUCUCCUUUCCCUAAUCAGUGAACCUAAUCCCCCCGUGAAGAAGCGGGGAUCCUAGUAUAAGACGAGAAGACCCUAUGGAGCUUUAAACAUCAUAACACCUGCUACUACAUUUCUACUUACUCAGGUAUCCCCCUAACAGCACACUGAUUAUAUGUUUUUGGUUGGGGUGACCGCGGAGAAAAACCAAUCCUCCGUAAUGAAAGGGACUCUCCCUAAACAGCAAGCUACAACUUUAUGUAUCAGCAAACUGACAUUCAUUGACCCAAUAUAUUGAUUAACGAACCAAGUUACCCUAGGGAUAACAGCGCAAUCCACUUCAAGAGCCCCUAUCGACAAGUGGGCUUACGACCUCGAUGUUGGAUCGGGGUAUCCUAGUGGUGCAGCCGCUACUAAAGGUUCGUUUGUUCAACGAUUAAAACCCUACGUGAUCUGAU
Molecule: ribosomal RNA, 863 nt
Filed under: Pristimantis boulengeri (Boulenger's robber frog)
Lineage: Eukaryota; Metazoa; Chordata; Amphibia; Anura; Strabomantidae
Description: partial 16S ribosomal RNA
Rfam family: Bacterial large subunit ribosomal RNA
Source: RNAcentral